Molecule: ribosomal RNA, 733 nt
Filed under: uncultured bacterium
Lineage: Bacteria
Description: bacterial SSU rRNA
Rfam family: Bacterial small subunit ribosomal RNA
Source: RNAcentral
AGAGUUUGAUCAUGGCUCAGAACGAACGGUGGCGGCGUGGAUAAGACAUGCAAGUCGAACGGAAUUCACAACGUAGCAAUACUGUGUGUGUUUAGUGGCGCAAGGGAGCGUAACACGUGGGUAACCUGCCCGAGAACGCGGAAUAGCCCGGCGAAAGCCGGAUUAAUGCCGCAUGUGGCUACCAGAGACAUCUCUGGGAUGCUAAAGAUGGAGUAAUCUAUCGAUCUCGGAUGGGCCCGCGGCCUAUCAGCUAGUUGGUGAGGUAAAGGCUCACCAAGGCUAUGACGGGUAGCUGGUCUGAGAGGACGACCAGCCUCACUGGAACUGAGACACGGUCCAGACACCUACGGGUGGCAGCAGUCGAGAAUUUUUCUCAAUGGGCGCAAGCCUGAAGGAGCGACGCCGCGUGGAGGAUGACGGUCUUCGGAUUGUAAACUCCUGUCAUUUGGGAACAAAAAUUUCGUUUAACUGACGAAAGACUGAUAGUACCAGAAGAGGAAGAGACGGCUAACUCUGUGCCAGCAGCCGCGGUAAUACAGAGGUCUCAACCGUUGUUCGGAUUCAUUGGGCGUAAAGGGUGCGUAGGUGGUCGCGUAAGUCGGAUGUGAAAUCCCGGGGCUCAACCCCGGAACUGCAUUCGAUACUGCGUGGCUAGGGUGCUGGAGAGGAGACUGGAAUUUACGGUGUAGCAGUGAAAUGCGUAGAUAUCGUAAGGAAGACCAGUGGCGAAGGC